Molecule: ribosomal RNA, 253 nt
Filed under: uncultured bacterium
Lineage: Bacteria
Description: partial 16S ribosomal RNA
Rfam family: Bacterial small subunit ribosomal RNA
Source: RNAcentral
UACGUAGGGUGCGAGCGUUAAUCGGAAUUACUGGGCGUAAAGCGUGCGUAGGCGGUUCGUUAUGUCUGCUGUGAAAGCCCCGGGCUUAACCUGGGAAUGGCAGUGGAAACUGGCGGGCUUGAGUGUGGCAGGGGGGGGUGGAAUUCCGCGUGUAGCAGUGAAAUGCGUAGAGAUGCGGAGGAACACCGAUGGCGAAGGCGCUCUACUGGACCACAACUGACACUCAGGGACGAAAGCUAGGGGAGCGAAUGGG